This 442-nucleotide ribosomal RNA is filed under the name uncultured bacterium. Its description in RNAcentral is "partial 16S ribosomal RNA". It matches the Rfam family "Bacterial small subunit ribosomal RNA", at positions 338 to 795 of the family's 1533-position model. The record is from RNAcentral.
CCUACGGGGCGCAGCAGUGGGGAAUAUUGGGCAAUGGGCGCAAGCCUGACCCAGCAACGCCGCGUGAAGGAAGAAGGCUUUCGGGUUGUAAACUUCUUUUAAGGGGGAAGAGCAGAAGACGGUACCCCUUGAAUAAGCCACGGCUAACUACGUGCCAGCAGCCGCGGUAAUACGUAGGUGGCAAGCGUUGUCCGGAUUUACUGGGUGUAAAGGGCGUGCAGCCGGAGAGAUAAGUCAGAUGUGAAAUCCACGGGCUCAACCCGUGAACUGCAUUUGAAACUGUUUCCCUUGAGUGUCGGAGAGGUAAUCGGAAUUCCUUGUGUAGCGGUGAAAUGCGUAGAUAUAAGGAAGAACACCAGUGGCGAAAGCGGAUUACUGGACGAUAACUGACGGUGAGGCGCGAAAGCGUGGGGAGCAAACAGGAUUAGAUACCCGAGUAGUC